UGGGGAAUAUUGCACAAUGGGCGGAAGCUUGAUGCAGCGACCCGCUGGGGGAUGAAGGCCUUCGGGUUGUAAACUCCUUUCGACAGGGACGAAGCUUUUGUGACGGUACCUGUAUAAGAAGCACCGGCUAACUACGUGCCAGCAGCCGCGGUAAUACGUAGGGUGCGAGCGUUGUCCGGAAUUACUGGCCGUAAAGAGCUCGUAGGUGGUUUGUCGCGUCGUCUGUGAAAUUCCGGGGCUUAACUCCGGGCGUGCAGGCGAUACGGGCUGACUUGAGUGCUGUAGGGGAGACUGGAAUUCCUGGUGUAGCGGUGAAAUGCGCAGAUAUCAGGAGGAACACGGAUGGCGAAGGCAGGUCUCUGGGCAGUAACUGACGCUGAGGAGCGAAAGCAUGGGUAGCGAACAGGAUUAGAUACCCUGGUAGUCCAUGCCGUAAACGGUGGGCGCUAGGUGUAGGGGGCUUCCACGUCUUCUGUGCCGUAGCUAACGCAUUAAGCGCCCCGCCUGGGGAGUACGGCCGCAAGNNUA
Molecule: ribosomal RNA, 528 nt
Filed under: uncultured bacterium
Lineage: Bacteria
Description: bacterial SSU rRNA
Rfam family: Bacterial small subunit ribosomal RNA
Source: RNAcentral